Molecule: RNA transcript, 2672 nt
Organism: Harpegnathos saltator (Jerdon's jumping ant)
Lineage: Eukaryota; Metazoa; Arthropoda; Insecta; Hymenoptera; Formicidae
Exons: 6
Source: RefSeq, a predicted model, not a curated record
GGGAGUCUGUGUCUAUAUCCAAUGACUGUAUUCAAAGAACAAAGCGUUCACUAAGGGAUUAGUGACUAUUGGUCUUUACUGUUAGAUUGUAACAUUCAGAUCAAUAACGCAAAUUACUCAACCGUUGUGUAACCGUUGUGUUUCCUGAAUACAGCCUCUUGUUUUCUGACAAGGAUUUGAAACGUGCGGUUGAGCUACUCGGGCGAGAUGUACAUCUUAAGAAUAUGUCGGUGUAGCGAUUUUUCGAAAUUCGAAAUAUUAACGAAGAUAUGAGCGGUUUAACGUCCGACCAUUCGACGCUGUCAGAUACGGGUCGGAGCAAGUGGAAAUUAUUUGUUGUCGAAGGAACAGAGCAUCCAAAUAAGCAGGAUCUUCUCCAUAUACAGUGGCCUUUAUAUGUAUGUACAUCUUCAGCAAGAUUAUAAUUUCUAAUGGUCAUUCAAACUUAGUUCCCUCUUGAAUCUUGACUCGAGUAGACGUACUUAUUAUCAUGGAGAAAAAGUACCCAAGAGGAAGUUCUGGUCGUCAAGACAGACAUAAGAAAAGAAAAUUUCAAGGCAAUCAAUUUACAUUCGAACAUGAAACUUCAUUUACGAGUACAGCAGCGCAAAAAUUGAAAGUGAACAAUAACGAAGAUAUUCAAAUAAAUCCCAAUCACGGAUAUCGUAUUUUAGAAUUUUAUACAGUAUUUUCCGCACUUUCUCAGCUUGUGAUUUGUAAGAAAUGUAAAGGACAAGUAAAUUUUAGUGAAUCAGGUACACACGCCCUGGGAUUUAAAAUCAGAAUAAGCUGUACAUGUGGAAUGCAGUAUGUGUCUUCGUGUCCACUUGUCGACAGAGCUUACGAAAUUAACCGAAGAAUAGUUCUUAUUAUGAGACUGCUAGGAAUCGGUAGAGAAGGAUUAAAUUUAUUUUGUGGCCUUAUGGAUAUGGGCCAGGGCAUAUAUAUAUCAACGUACUAUGCGACUUUAAAAAAUAUACAUACUGCAGCAUUAGCUAUGUUCAACAUUUUUAGUAAAAAAGCUGUAAACGAAGAAAAAGAGCAAAACGUAGAAAAUGGAAAACCUGCUGAUGAAUUAACUGUUUCUGGAAAUGGUUCAUGGAAAAAACAAGGUUUCAGCUCUUUAUUUGGCAUAUCUACUCUUAUAGGAAAAUAUACUGGCAAAGUAAUAGAUUUUGUAGUAAAAUCAAGCUACUGUCAGGCAUGUGCUUUUUGGAAAAAUAAGGAAGGUACUGAAGAUUACAAGAUUUGGGCUGAAAAUCACCAAGAUAUCUGCGAUGUUAAUAAUUUUGAUUCUGCUGGUAAAAUGAAGGUUGAUUCAAUGAAAGAAAUGUUCCUAAAAUCAGAGGAAAAAUUCGGAGUUAAAUAUACUACUUACAUCAGUGAUGGUGACUCUAAAACUUUUAAAGCACUUUUAGAUUUCAAUCCUUAUGAAGAAAAGCCAAUUAAAAAAUGUGAGUGCAUUGGGCACGUGCAGAAAAGAAUGGGCUCGUGCCUUCGAAACAAAAAGAAGGUUGAGAAACUUGGAGGGAAAAGAAGAUUAACCAAUUCGUUAAUAACAGAUCUAACAGUAAACUAUGGUUUAGCCAUCCGAAGAAAUUCGCAUUCCGUUGAAGAAAUGAAGAAGGCAAUAUGGGCUACAUUCUAUCAUAAAUGUUCUACAGAUAAAAAACCGCAACAUAUGUAUUGUCCCCCGGGACCGGACAGCUGGUGUGAGUGGCGUCGCGCUGAAGCCGUGAAUAAUCUUGCCGAAUUUCACCACGAUCCACCACUUCACAAAGAUGUCCAAAGAGCAAUAAAGUCUAUUUAUAAGGACUUAUCAUCUCUAGACUUGUUAGAACAAUGCUUAGGCGGAAAUAUUCGAAAUAAUAACGAGAGUUUUAACGCAACGAUCUGCCGUCUCGCACCGAAACAUCUUCAUUCUGGGUCAAAAGUUAUUGAAUCUUGUGCAUAUUUGGCUGCGGGAAUGUUUAACGAGGGUUACAUUACCAUUCUAAAAGUUAUGGAGACAAUGGGAGUAAUUAUUGGUCAACAAUGUAAGUUGUUUGUUGAUUACGCGGAUAAACAGCGACACACACAUACGGAAAUCAAGAGUGCUAAUACUGCAAAAAAAGCUCGUAUGGCCAGUCAAAGCAAUAUAAAGAAAUUACACGAUUUUUACGAAGAAUCAGAAGGGUUAUUUUACGGACCAGGAAUAGCAGAUUAGCCAAAAACAUUGAAAUUACAACUAACAUGCACGUUACAUGUAAUAUUGUGUUUGCUGGGUUGAUUAUAUGAUUCUCUAACAAAGGUAUUAUUUGUCAGAUGGUAUAUUCAAGAAUAAAAGAAGAUCAAAUUCUAUGUGUUGCCUACAACCAUGAACUUCCGAAAUAUGGAAUAAAAGUAGGCCUUACUAAUUAUGGAUCUGCAUAUUACACUGGCUUAUUUUUUACAAGUUGCUGAAGAAAUUAGCCCUGGAUACUUUGUAUAUUGGUAACACGGAAAUAUCUGGUGACAUACAAUGUCGAGGAAUCAAACGAUGGUCCAGGUGUAUUUGAAUGUUACUUGGAUACUGUGUCUAAUAUGUACUAUACAACAGGCGCCCAAGUUUUUGAGGCUAUGAAAGAUGCAGUUGAUGGUGACCUCAAUAUUUCCUAAAACACUAAGAGAUUUCUCAGUUAUGAUAACGAAUC